RNAcentral lists this ribosomal RNA (480 nucleotides) under uncultured bacterium. Its description in RNAcentral is "partial 16S ribosomal RNA". It matches the Rfam family "Bacterial small subunit ribosomal RNA", at positions 29 to 507 of the family's 1533-position model. The record is from RNAcentral.
ACGAACGUUGGCGGCGUGCUUAAUACAUGCAAGUCAACUGAAGCAGUGGUAGCAAUCUCGCUGUGGAGGUGGCGCACGGGUGAGUAACACGUAGGUAAUCUGCCUUCAGGUCUGGCAUAACUCCGGGAAACCGGGGCUAAUAGCAGAUGAUGCAGCGGCUCGACAUCGAGACAGUUGUUAAAGCUAUGGCGCCUGAAGAUGAGCCUGCGUCUGAUUAGCUAGUUGGCGGGGUAACGGCCCACCAAGGCAACGAUCAGUAGCUGGUCUGAGAGGAUGAUCAGCCACACUGGAACUGAGACACGGUCCAGACUCCUACGGGAGGCAGCAGUAAGGAAUAUUGCUCAAUGGGAGAAAUCCUGAAGCAGCAACGCCGCGUGAGGGACGAAGGGCUUUUGCUUGUAAACCUCUGUAGUGAGAGAAAAAAAUCCCAAUCUCUGGGACAUGAUGGUAUCUCAAAAGUAAGCCCCGGCUAACUACGUG